This 468-nucleotide ribosomal RNA is filed under the name uncultured bacterium. RNAcentral's name for it is "partial 16S ribosomal RNA". It matches the Rfam family "Bacterial small subunit ribosomal RNA", at positions 28 to 507 of the family's 1533-position model. The record is from RNAcentral.
GACGAACGCUGGCGGCGUGCUUAACACAUGCAAGUCGAACGGAAAGGCCCUGCUUUUGUGGGGUGCUCGAGUGGCGAACGGGUGAGUAACACGUGAGUAACCUGCCCUUGACUUUGGGAUAACUUCAGGAAACGGGGGCUAAUACCGGAUAGGAGCUCCUGCUGCAUGGUGGGGGUUGGAAAGUUUCGGCGGUUGGGGAUGGACUCGCGGCUUAUCAGCUUGUUGGUGGGGUAGUGGCUUACCAAGGCUUUGACGGGUAGCCGGCCUGAGAGGGUGACCGGCCACAUGGGGAAUGAGAGACGGCCCAGACUCCUACGGGAGGCAGCAGUGGAGAAUAUUGAACAAUGGGCGGAAGCAUGAUGCAGCAACGCCGCGUGCGGGAUGACGGCCUUCGGGUUGUAAACCGCUUUCGCCUGUGACGAAGCGUGAGUGACGGUAAUGGGUAAAGAAGCACCGGCUAACUACGUG